Long non-coding RNA from Diachasmimorpha longicaudata, 1781 nucleotides. RefSeq lists it as uncharacterized. NCBI's taxonomy places the organism in Eukaryota, Metazoa, Arthropoda, Insecta, Hymenoptera, Braconidae. The transcript has 3 exons. The record is from RefSeq and is a predicted model, not a curated record.
CAUUUAAAACAACACUUCCAAUGGUGUGUCAUUUCCAGUAAAAUGAAGUCCAAAGAGCUUCACUUUAAAAUAUACCUCAUUGUAUUUAAAAUUAAUUAUAUAAUUUCGACUUUGCUGGGUUUAGCACCUUGUAGCAUUAAAAUAGUGAAUCGAUCGGCUCAUAGAAUAGGAUUAACAUUUGAAUUUUCGUAUUCACGUGUGGGAUGUGCAUACAAUAUUAUUCUGAUUGUGAUGUGUAUCAUGAUAAUUAGCAUUGGUGUACCAUUUUUGAAAGAUAUGCCAUAUCCAAAUGACUCAAAAAUUUUAAAAACCAUAACAAUAACUCUUGCAGCAACGGGAAAUAUAGGAGCUAUCGUAAUAAUCGCUAUUCAUGCAAUAAUGCAGAGACAUAUUAUCAGAAUUGGAGAUCAACUGCGUGAUUUUGAUAGUAAACAUGGUGAUGAACUCAUUGGGAGGAGUGAUGAUGCUCUCAGACAUUUUCAACGAAUGAUACCAAUUAUUUUUUUAUUUUUUAUUUGGAUUGGAUUGGUGAUAAUGACUGGGCUGGUUGAAGAAGAAUAUUAUUUUAUCAAUUCAAUUGUAUGGGCAGCAUGUUUCAGCUGGUUAUUAACUCAGUACAGUUUAGUUAUUAUUGUUCUUCGGGGGCGUUUUGAAGGGCUCAAUAAUGCUCUACUUGCUAUAGGCAAAUAUCCUAUUGGUUUUACUGAAAAUUCGUUAUUUCAAGGAAGUUUCACUAAUGAUCGGCUAAUUAUUAAAAAUUUAACUGUGAUGAAACAGGCGAGAAAAAAAAUUUAUAAAAUAACACAUGAAGUUGCCAAAUUCUACUCUUUUCCAGUUUUACUUGUUAUAUCUUACUGCAGUUGUUGCUCUGUCAAUAGCAUGUAUUAUUGUAUUCUGACAUUGUUAACUCCUGAAGUGACUUCUUUCACCAAUAUUAUCAUGAUUGACGCAAUAUUCUGGACACUUCUCACUCUAUAUCCCAUCGUAGUGCUCAGUGCAAGUGUUAAUGGCUUUCACGAGGAAAUUGAAAAAACGGCAGAUAUUGUUUACGAUAUCAUGGAGACGUACACACCAAAUAAUGAGAUCGAAUCAGAAUUGAAUAAUUUUGCUAUUGAAUUACUGCAUAGAAGGGUUGGGUUCAACGCUUGUGGAAUAUUCUCGUUAGACUGCACAUUAUUGCAUUCAAUAUUUGGUAUGAUUGUAACAUAUCUUCUUAUUCUUCUGCAAUUCAAACCAGCGGAAACUGAUUCAAAAAAUUGAAUCAUCAGUUCAUCAUUACGGAGUAAUAAAUUACAUGAAGAGAAAUAUUCAGUAAAUAUUAUGGACCGUUUAGAAAUAAUUAUGUAAUAAUUCCGUAAAAAUUCUGAUAAUUCGCAGUUCACUUCCGAAUUAAGGAAAAAAAAAACAAAAUUUUUAUUUAAUAUUUCUAUCUGUGUAGGAGCUUUAAAUUGGGGGAAUUGGGAUUCGCUUUUUAUUAUUAUGAAACUUGUAAAUAAUGGUUCAAUUGUAGGGUUAAUUAAAUCAACUAUUAAGUGUUAAAGUUCACGUGAAAAUCUGCAAUUCGUUUAAUUGAAAUGUUAUCAGUACAAAAGUAUUUGUAAAUAAUUACGCCAGUGGAAUGUAAAUCCAUCAAUAAAUUGCAAUUUUUUUCCAUCUAAUCGCAACAAAAUCCUCUUUACUUAGGAGAUGAAUAAAUAAUGGCGUAGUACGUAGUUUUCAAAGGAAUCCAUUAACAAAUUGAAUUUCCUGGUACUACUUUUGUCGUAAAGAAUGAGAAAUUC